AGCACAUCGACUCGCCUGCUUGGAGCGACUAACAACGCAUAGCGAGCAAUCGUCAGGUGGGUGCGGACGGCGCACAGAAACCGAAGUGUUCGGGGGGGUACAUACGGAUUCCGAGCACCGGCCGCGCCCGCAUGGCCACUGCGCCGUCGUUUUAUAGCGGCG
This 162-nucleotide small RNA is filed under the name Xanthomonas campestris pv. campestris. Its description in RNAcentral is "ncRNA of unknown function". The record is from RNAcentral. Lineage: Bacteria; Pseudomonadati; Pseudomonadota; Gammaproteobacteria; Lysobacterales; Lysobacteraceae.